CGUAACCGGGCUGAAGUCGUACCGUAAGGAGCGGUGGACUGGUUACGAGUGAGAAUGUUGGCAUCAGUAGCGAGAUGUGGGUGAGAAUCCCACAGGCCGAAAACCUAAGGUUUCCUCAGGAAGGUUCGUCCGCUGAGGGUUAGUCGGGACCUAAGCCGAGGCCGAAAGGCGUAGGUGAUGGACAACUGGUUGAUAUUCCAGUACCACUACCAUCGUUAUUAUCGAUGGCGUGACGCAGGAGGAUAGUGUGUGCUAGCUAUUGGAUGCUAGUCUAAGCGUUUAGGCAGUGAGAGUAGGCAAAUCCGCUCUCAUAAUGCUGAGGCGUGAUGGGGAAGGUUCUACGGAACCGAAGUACAUGAUUCCACGCUGCCAAGAAAAGCGUCUAGAGAGAGAAGUAGUGCCCGUACCGCAAACCGACACAGGUAGGUGAGGAGAGAAUCCUAAGGCCGGCGGAAGAAUUACAGUUAAGGAACUCGGCAAAUUGACCCCGUAAGUUCGCGAGAAGGGGUGCCUACGAGAGUAGGCCGCAGAGAAUAGGCCCAAGCAACUGUUUAGCAAAAACACAGGUCUCUGCUAAAGCGUAAGCUGAUGUAUAGGGGCUGACGCCUGCCCGGUGCUGGAAGGUUAAGGGGAACACUUAGCGCAAGCGAAGGUGUGAACUUAAGCCCCAGUAAACGGCGGCCGUAACUAUAACGGUCCUAAGGUAGCGAAAUUCCUUGUCAGGUAAGUUCUGACCCGCACGAAUGGCGUAAUGACUUGGGCACUGUCUCAACUGUAAAUCCGGCGAAGUUGUAGUGCGAGUGAAGAUGCUCGCUACCCGCGAUUGGACGGAAAGACCCCGUAGAGCUUUACUGUAGCUUAGCAUUGAGUUUUGGUAUUGUCUGUACAG
RNAcentral lists this ribosomal RNA (889 nucleotides) under Clostridium perfringens. RNAcentral's name for it is "partial 23S ribosomal RNA". It matches the Rfam family "Bacterial large subunit ribosomal RNA", at positions 1240 to 2141 of the family's 2925-position model. Lineage: Bacteria; Bacillati; Bacillota; Clostridia; Eubacteriales; Clostridiaceae. The record is from RNAcentral.